RNAcentral lists this long non-coding RNA (2131 nucleotides) under Triticum aestivum (bread wheat). RNAcentral's name for it is "long non-coding RNA (TAES_LNC028606)". The record is from RNAcentral. Lineage: Eukaryota; Viridiplantae; Streptophyta; Magnoliopsida; Poales; Poaceae.
UUGCUAUCUCCAAUGUUGACCUGGAAACUGCAGAAUCAUAUGUGCGCAUUGUGUAAAAAGCUGAGAUUGUGAUUGAUAUGCAGGUUAGAUAAUAAGGUAUAAGACUCUUAUACGCUGAUGUAUAAGGUUGCAAUGAAUGUCCUUUUGGGGUCUUUCAUAGCAGAAAGUUAUAAUUUUCUGAUACAUUGUUAUAUAAGGCUCUAGACACUGCAUAAUCUUUUGAUUUUAGUUUGAAUACCUUGUAAUUUGUUUUUAUCGUUGCAUGUUAUCGUUUGACUCUAUUUCGAACACCUCAAAGAUUGCUUUGGCUAGUACUUAUGAUUUCAAAGCCUUAUUUAGUUUUAUAAAAAAUAUUGAUUUGUGUUGGCUUGUGAUAUUUAGGCAAGGAUUGAAACUUAGUAGUACAAACAAACGUGAUGCAGUGACACGACAUGAUAGGUAGUUCUAAUACUAUGCAUGCAGAUCGAGGUUGUUCGUAAAGUUAUGCAGAAGCAACCAUGACAGCCGGUAGCAGUCCUCGCAUCUAGAAGGUAUCACAUCUUCUUAGAAUUCUUGAAUAUUACACUAAUGAAAAGAUAUUUAUGUUUCCAUUAUUAUAUAGACAAGGUGUAUAAUGAACUAGCUCUUGCAAAAAUUAGACCUUACCAUGGAUCCCUUUAUACCGAUUUGGAAUUACAAAUUUAGUUCUGAUCACAAGGGCCAUUCUGUUGAAAAGCAAUCAUAGCUUGCCAUCUUGUCUGAAAAGCAAUCAUAGCAUGCCAUUCUAUAUAAACGCUCUAGGGCUGAAGUAGCAAGCACCGACACUCUGGGAGCUAGCAAGAUAUUUUCUCCUCUCACAUGCCGAAGACUAAUUAUUUUCUGAGUCGAGCAUGUGUUUGAAAGUAGGAACCUACAAGUUUCUUAUUUUCACCUGAGCAACUAGUGCUUUUUUUGUUUUCCUGGUAGAUUAAAAUUGUGCCUACUUUCAAACACAUGCUUAAGUCCUUUUAUUCUGAAUCAACCAGCAGCUCUGUUUCUUAAACAAUUCUGCAGCUACCACUGAAACUUUGCACACAAUCUGGACAAACAUCAUGGAUUAAUAAGAGGGACCACACAACUAUAUGUUCAGCAAACCGACAUUAUUUUAUUUUGAGCAUCCAAUAUUCAUUCCAGCAAAUGAUUUAUGUGCCUGCAAACUCUUCUUUUUGUUGAAUCAACAUUUUUAUCAAAAACCAUGCAGCAGAUUUAAUCAGAGGGCUGUUCGUUGGUAUACAUUCUCAUAAUUAUUGAUUCUCACUGUCUAGCACUAGUACACACUACACCCAGAACAAACAUGUACAAAAAAAAAACAGAACUGAGGACACCCUGCAUUGCCACUGGAUUGAUAGUAAUUAAUCCUUACCUGCAGUUUUUGAAUGUUCUAUUAACUUCGCAGCAAUCAAAAUAAAUUAAUAUACCAAAAGAAGGUGACUAUUGGUAAAUAUUUAUAUUGACAGGUUAAAUUGGUCUUUCUUAUGAGUGCAUACACAUUCUGUUUGUGCCUUGUUGACUGCGAAAGUACAGGGUAACACACAUGUGUCUUUUUCAUUUGGAUGAGUUGAUUUUCUUUUUCAGCCAUGCAACUUCUAUGUUUGGAACAUGUGUUCUUCCGAGCUGAUCUAUUUUGCCAUUUCCUUUUUUUACAGGUCACCAAUAUAAUGCCUUUGCAUCCACAAGUUUCUAGAGGUGUGUUUGGUCAGCUAAAAAGGAUCUUCUGCUGGAAUAUGUUUCUACCUAAAACGGAAUCUUAUAUUUUGCACUUUUGUCUUUUAUGUAAUGCUUUGACUUAUGAACCUACAAAUUUAUGCAUGUGUACAUGUAGACCUGAUGGAUGUCCUGUUACUGGACUUGUAUGCUUAUGUGUGCACGUAAGCACGCAAGAUGGAUCUUUGUGCUUUUGGCUGUCUUAGACUUGUGUAUACACACACACACACAUUAUCUAUUAAGUGAUGCAAUCUUAAUUACUGGAUGCAUGUGUGUUGUUAUAUAUAGAUGACACAAAAUAGAGUGAAGAUAAAUGCUAGCUGUUGAAAUACAUGUAUACAAUAUAUAGGAGAUCUGUUUGUUGGCAGUGGAUACAAAUAGAGGCAGUUUACCUGCUGGGGAACUCUUG